Molecule: ribosomal RNA, 301 nt
Filed under: uncultured bacterium
Lineage: Bacteria
Description: partial 16S ribosomal RNA
Rfam family: Bacterial small subunit ribosomal RNA
Source: RNAcentral
CAGUAGCCGCGGUAAUACGAAGGGUGCAAGCGUUACUCGGAAUUACUGGGCGUAAAGCGUGCGUAGGUGGUGGUUUAAGUCCGCUGUGAAAGCCCUGGGCUCAACCUGGGAAUUGCAGUGGAUACUGGGUCACUAGAGUGUGGUAGAGGAUAGUGGAAUUUCCGGUGUAGCAGUGAAAUGCGUAGAGAUCGGAAGGAACAUCUGUGGCGAAGGCGACUAUCUGGGCCAACACUGACACUGAGGCACGAAAGCGUGGGGAGCAAACAGGAUUAGAUACCCGAGUAGUCCCUGUCUCUUAUAC